RNAcentral lists this ribosomal RNA (557 nucleotides) under uncultured bacterium. RNAcentral's name for it is "partial 16S ribosomal RNA". It matches the Rfam family "Bacterial small subunit ribosomal RNA", at positions 355 to 932 of the family's 1533-position model. The record is from RNAcentral.
UGGGGAAUAUUGCACAAUGGGCGAAAGCCUGAUGCAGCAACGCCGCGUGAGUGAUGAAGGCCUUCGGGUUGUAAAGCCCUGUCUUUUGGGACGAUAAUGACGGUACCAAAGGAGGAAGCCACGGCUAACUACGUGCCAGCAGCCGCGGUAAUACGUAGGUGGCAAGCGUUGUCCGGAUUUACUGGGCGUAAAGGAUGCGUAGGCGGAUUUUUAAGUGAGAUGUGAAAUACCCGGGCUUAACUUGGGUGCUGCAUUUCAAACUGGGAAUCUAGAGUGCGGGAGAGGAGAAUGGAAUUCCUAGUGUAGCGGUGAAAUGCGUAGAGAUUAGGAAGAACACCAGUGGCGAAGGCGAUUCUCUGGACCGUAACUGACGCUGAGGCAUGAAAGCGUGGGUAGCAAACAGGAUUAGAUACCCUGGUAGUCCACGCCGUAAACGAUGAGUACUAGGUGUAGGAGGUAUCGACCCCUUCUGUGCCGCAGUUAACACAAUAAGUACUCCGCCUGGGAAGUACGAUCGCAAGAUUAAAACUCAAAUGAAUUGACGGGGUCAAUAGCUG